RNAcentral lists this ribosomal RNA (482 nucleotides) under uncultured bacterium. Its description in RNAcentral is "partial 16S ribosomal RNA". It matches the Rfam family "Bacterial small subunit ribosomal RNA", at positions 30 to 507 of the family's 1533-position model. The record is from RNAcentral.
AUUGAACGCUGGCGGCAGGCUUUACACAUGCAAGUCGAACGGUAACAGGCCGCAUGCUCCUGACUUGUGCGGAGGACGGGUGUGAUAUACCUGAACAUCUCCCUGCUAGGGGGGUAUCUCGUCGGGAGAGUAGCUAUAAUCCCACAUACUCUCUGAGGGAGAGAGGGGGGGCUCUUGGCCCCGCGCGCUAUCAGCUGACGAUGUCAGAUUAGGUAGUUGGUGGGGUAAAGGCCCACCAAGCCAACGAUCUGUAGCUGGUCUGAGAGGAUAAGCAGCCACACUGGAACUGAGACACGGCCCAGACUCCUACGGGAGGCAGCAGUGGGGAAUUUUGGACAAUGGGCGCAAGCCUGAUCCAGCCAUGCCGCGUGCAGGAAGAAGGCCUUCGGAUUGUAAACUGCUUUAGGAUGGGAGGAAAGGGAGUAAGUUAAUACCCGGGUGUAUUGACGUUACCAUAAGAAUAAGCACCGGCUAACUACGUG